UACCCGCGGCCCGAGUGGUGCUCAUUAUUAUUGAGCUUAAAGCGUCCGUAGCCGGCCUUGUAAAUCUUUGGGUAAAUCGAGCAGCUCAACUGUUCGAAUUCCGAGGAGACUGCAAGGCUCGGGACCGGGAGAGGUUCGAGGUACUCUCGGGGUAGGGGUAAAAUCCUGUAAUCCUGAGAGGACCACCAGUGGCGAAGGCGUCGAACUAGAACGGAUCCGACGGUGAGGGACGAAGCCCUGGGGCGCAAAC
Molecule: ribosomal RNA, 250 nt
Filed under: uncultured archaeon
Lineage: Archaea
Description: partial 16S ribosomal RNA
Rfam family: Archaeal small subunit ribosomal RNA
Source: RNAcentral